Molecule: ribosomal RNA, 252 nt
Filed under: uncultured bacterium
Lineage: Bacteria
Description: partial 16S ribosomal RNA
Rfam family: Bacterial small subunit ribosomal RNA
Source: RNAcentral
ACAGAGGGUGCAAACGUUGUUCGGAAUUACUGGGCGUAAAGCGCGUGUAGGCUGCAUGGCAAGUCGGAUGUGAAAGCCCUGGGCUCAACCCAGGAAGUGCACUCGAAACUGCCAAGCUCGAGUCCUGGAGAGGAAGGCGGAAUUCUCGGUGUAGAGGUGAAAUUCGUAGAUAUCGAGAGGAACACCUGUGGCGAAGGCGGCCUUCUGGACAGUGACUGACGCUGAGACGCGAAAGCGUGGGGAGCAAACAGG